UGGGCAGCCACGAUGGGAAAGCGCUACACUGGCAGUGUAGAGGUCAGCGAUUCGAUCCCGCUAUGCUCCACCA
This 73-nucleotide transfer RNA is filed under the name Brevibacillus reuszeri. Its description in RNAcentral is "tRNA-Ala". The record is from RNAcentral. Lineage: Bacteria; Bacillati; Bacillota; Bacilli; Caryophanales; Paenibacillaceae.